Molecule: ribosomal RNA, 433 nt
Filed under: uncultured bacterium
Lineage: Bacteria
Description: partial 16S ribosomal RNA
Rfam family: Bacterial small subunit ribosomal RNA
Source: RNAcentral
AACGAACGCUGGCGGCAUGCCUAACACAUGCAAGUCGAACGAGACCUUCGGGUCUAGUGGCGCACGGGUGCGUAACGCGUGGGAACCUGCCCUUAGGUUCGGAAUAACUCCCCGAAAGGGGUGCUAAUACCGGAUAAUGUCUUCGGACCAAAGAUUUAUCGCCUUUGGAUGGGCCCGCGUUGGUUUAGCUAGUUGGUAGGGUAAAAGCCUACCAAGGCGACGAUCCAUAGCUGGUCGGAGAGGAUGAUCAGCCACACUGGGACUGAGACACGGCCCAGACUCCUACGGGAGGCAGCAGUGGGGAAUAUUGGAAAAUGGGCGAAAGCAUGAUCCAGCAAUGGUGGGUGAGCGAUGAAGGCCUUAGGGUUGUAAAGCUCUUUUACCCGGGACGAUAAUGACAGUACCGGGAGAAUAAGCUCCGGCUAACUCCGUG